Molecule: long non-coding RNA, 1108 nt
Organism: Cyprinus carpio carpio
Lineage: Eukaryota; Metazoa; Chordata; Actinopteri; Cypriniformes; Cyprinidae
Source: Ensembl
AGGGCAUACACAUGACUUACAUGAAACCAGUGUUGGCACCGCACACUACAGUCAACAACUCCAGGAGAAAUAAAUAGAAAACAACAGUGAAUAGGAGAAAUUCGAACAAACAGAAGAUCGGGUCAGUAUGUUUGCUUCUCAAAAUAAUUCCCAAAAGUAAUGUAACACUGGUAACAUCCAUGUUUUCGUGCUUCUUGUAGCUCAUGUAAAUAUCAGAUAAAUAAAAAAAUCAAAAGUGGGAAUAAUAUUCCUUACUUAAAAGAAGAAAAAUGUACCUGGGUUGUUACAAAGCAUUAAUAAAGAUGCCAAUCGGCAUCAUCUGGUGUGAAAUGACGUUUACUGUAGAGUUCUAGAAUCAUUGACACCUAGAAGCUUCUAGAACCAUCCUGAAGAGGAAUGCACCUGUUCAGGUAACCGGGAGUAAGUUUUUAUGACGGGUGAGUAAAGCAGUCUCUUUAAUAUCUAGUGGCAUGAAUUAAUUUAAAAGUUUUCAAAUGUAAUGUAUGUCUGAACAAUGUAGCAACCCAUGAGAGAAUAACUAUGCCAAACUGAUUUCAUGAGAAAACUAUUUUACCAGGUGUUGAUUCAGAAUGAAUUCAUAUGAUGUGAUUUUUAUGUAUGAUUCAAAAAAUAAAAGUGAAGUUCCACCCCACAAAAUGUAUGAAUGAGAUUGUGCCAAGUAGUUAAGAACUGCCACGAGAGUGUGUUGACAAUGCUGAACUAAUUCAUUACCAGCUUUGCUCUUAUUUUCUGUUGAUUUCCACUUUCAUACUAAUAUGUUCGGAGAUGCUAGUCAUUUUUAUUUUUUUUAAAUGUUUGAAGGUUCCAAACAGAACCUUCAAAGUUCAGCUGGAAAUAAUAUAGAGAAUAUAGGAGAAAGUCAGAAAAAAUGCUUUCAUGGUUUAUUUUGAUGUGUAAGGUCUGAUAUGUUUUGUUUUAGUUUUGUUUUCAGGUAAUUGUAUGGAGUGAUUUUCCUGCUGAACGAAGCCUAGACCAGCCAAUCCGGUUGAGCCGGCGACCUUGAAUGACCGCUGAUCUAUAUCCUAUAUUAUGUUAAACGGAUGUACAUUCACCAGGAUGGCCGAGUGGUUAAGGCGUUGGACUUAAG